GUACGGAGGGAGCAAGCGUUAUUCGGAAUCACUGGGCGUAAAGGACGCGUAGGCGGGUUUGUAAGUCAGGUGUGAAAUCCUACAGCUCAACUGUAGAACUGCACUUGAAACUACAGACCUAGAGUAUGGAAGGGGCAGAUGGAAUUAGUGGUGUAGGGGUAAAAUCCGUAGAUAUCACUAGGAAUACCGAAAGCGAAGGCGAUCUGCUGGGACAUUACUGACGCUGAGGCGUGAAAGCGUGGGGAGCAAACAGGAUUAGAUACCCUAGUAGUCC
RNAcentral lists this ribosomal RNA (274 nucleotides) under uncultured bacterium. RNAcentral's name for it is "partial 16S ribosomal RNA". It matches the Rfam family "Bacterial small subunit ribosomal RNA", at positions 523 to 796 of the family's 1533-position model. The record is from RNAcentral.